CCCAUAGUUGAAGGGGGUGCGCUC
This 24-nucleotide non-coding RNA is filed under the name Mus musculus (house mouse). The record is from RNAcentral. Lineage: Eukaryota; Metazoa; Chordata; Mammalia; Rodentia; Muridae.